RNAcentral lists this long non-coding RNA (278 nucleotides) under Homo sapiens (human). RNAcentral's name for it is "HSALNT0057393". The record is from RNAcentral. Lineage: Eukaryota; Metazoa; Chordata; Mammalia; Primates; Hominidae.
CUCGCAUUCAUUAAAAUGCACAAGAAGAAAUUUCUAAUGAGUACUUGCUUCAAAUUCAUACUUCAGUGAAAUAAACAACACCAUACAUAGGAAUGUGAAAGCAAAGUCAUCAUACACUGUUUGCUUCAUUGUAUGAGAAUCAAUGUUUGCAUGAUAAACUGCCCUAAUGGAAGAGGACUCUGAGUUACCUUUUUCGAGCAAAGCCACCUAGGUUACUCUGUUUUCCCCAGAGUGACCCUUCUGUUCUGCAAAUUUUCAGAUUGAAGGGAGUAGCAGUA